This 3111-nucleotide ribosomal RNA is filed under the name Triticum aestivum (bread wheat). RNAcentral describes it as "partial small subunit ribosomal RNA". Lineage: Eukaryota; Viridiplantae; Streptophyta; Magnoliopsida; Poales; Poaceae. The record is from RNAcentral.
UAGUGACAGUACGUCUCGGUGAUCAACCGUACAUUAAUGGGUUAAAACCUCACUUCUUUUUAUUUUUGAAACCGUCGGUGUGGGAGUAAACUGGUAAGGAGACACAUAGACACGAAGACACUUUGUCGAACGGUACCACUACGGGUGACAAGAGUUGAGGGAUUGAAAAAAUACACACGAACGUCAAGAACGACGUCCAGCCCGACUUCCCGCCGUAGUACUGAGACUAACAGGAAGAAAGAGCACGCCGGGAGAACCUUUACAUAACAGGGGUAAAGCAGUCCGUUCACUAGGCGGACCGACGCCGAUAGCUAGAAUGCUCGACCAAACGUCACUAUGGUUCCGAUACUAAGUGUAGCCACUACGUUGUAUGAUACACAGACGGUAGUUGAUGUCACCAAGAAGGAAGACCCAGUAGCUACGGUUGUACCUAAAUGUGUUGUUGACGGGAGAUGGAGCCACCUUAGGAGGUAUGGUUGGGCUGUUGUACCUUUAGCUUAACUCGGGGGAACAUGUAUCACCCCGAACGAAACAUUUUACGAGAGUCCUUCAUUUCCCGUGACCAUGCAUGUACGGACAACGAACGGAUUCGUGGUUGCUAAGAAAACAAAUGCACAAUUGACCGAUACCCAGAUGUAUAUACCUCAUGGAACUUGGAAGAACACCCAUGAACCGGGCCUGAGGAGCUGGGACCCUGCCAGACCCCGAUCUUUUACGUUCAAUACGUCUACAACAUUUUAGGUACUCCUAACCUAAACGACAAGCCAAAGGAAUAGGAUCCCUCUCGUAGUUCGUUACGGAUUAUGUCUGAAAAACCGGGAAGAUACUCCAUGGUCAGAACUCAUUUCUUCCGUAGUUCAAUGCAUAAGAUAAGUCAGAACACCCACUAAGUAAAAAGAGCGCCACGCGUGAUCAACUACAGUAACCUAAAGGUGGUAAAGCUCCACAUCAGUAUUAUUAGCAGAAGACCUAAACCUUCACCGACCGACACAACACGUCCAAGCACAACCGCGGCGAACAACACAACUAAAAGGAUCGGAUGUUCAUGACCUUUUGUUCUUAUUGUUAGCUACGUCAGCUCUUCAAGGAGGCAUACGUCGUUUACGAGCCAGGCUGCUCCAUGCGGAUGUGGCUGUAGUGACGUUAGUGUUCGGUAAAGUCUCUAUUCGACCCAGUCCCUCCGAUACCGAGGCACAAGUUCCCACACAAUAGUGGUCCGUUACAGGUACAGCGCCAGUUCUACGACCUCGCAUCGAGUUUGACGCUACCUCUCCUAAAGUAGUCACUUCAACGGUGGUAACCGUCCUAGGUGGUGCAGUUACACCACGCAGAGUACCCCAAGACGAGCCUCCUCUACUCCUCCCGAGAACAGAUACUCAUGUACCGAGCUCCAAGAGAACUGUUCAUGUAGAAGAGUCGAUUUUCAAAGAGGACCCUGUUCGAGUAUCUCUAACGAAACCCGUAACGGUCCCCCUAGCUGAUGGAAGUAGUUCCCACACUCUACGUCUAAGAUGUAAAACUGUAGUUCGGUGUGUUGUAGGACGAACUAUCGUUAAAACAGGGUUUUGAACGACUAAAACCAGAGCGGUUCGACAUGGGUUCUUUGUUGUCAAAGCAUAGUAACUCGCAGGACGCGCCUUGUUAACCCAUGUAUCGAGGACUCUACUAUAGAUCCUCGAAACCGCAGUAUAGCUCGUUCAGACUACAAAUGUCGAAACCCUACGACGACGACCUCUACCGGUCACCUUCUUCCUUACGGCUGGGUUUACACCGCUUAAGUUCGGUCAGAAUGAUGGGCAGUACCCACAUACUGUCUGAUUGACUUGUUCUCCCCGCACUAUAUAGAGGGUAACUGUUGUACGUACUCAACCUCUUCUUCGACACGUACCAGCCUGAUACCACGUAGGUCUACUUCAGGGUACUGGCAGGUUGCUACUCACUCCAAUAUCUGUACAACCUUCCGCCACGGCUAUGGAACGUCUACGGAAGGUCCGGUAAGAAGACACUGCUCCCCGAGCAGGUAUGGUUACUAUGAAUAGUAAACAGGAGGCUCAACUGGCUUUAGAGACUCCUCCUAUACUCACUUUUAUAGCUACACACUACUCCAACAACGUGAAACGAACGUUUUCCGACUUCAAUACCAACAUAAUUUUAUUAACAAAAGCGGAGUACACUUGAAAAUACGCCUUCGUACAUUAUCCGUCCCUCGUCGAUCUCCUACCUCCACACAAGGAAGGUUGACGUCGUAGGUACUAUCAUUCCAAGAUUUUACUUUAGUAACAAGAAGUACCUUCUGUAUACAUAGAUAAACUUAGACUCGUAUAAUAAGCCGUCUGAUUAUAUAUCGAACACCUUAGACCCCACUAUAAACGUACGUACUUGGACGAUACUUCUCUGUUGUGACAAUUAAUCGUACAUUAUGACGUCACCUCGAUCACAUAAGAUAGUCCACGAAGAUAUCAAGAUCAGCUUCUGUCCAUCUAUAUCCCGUACUACUAAGUUUUUUAUUUUUCUUCUUACGUCUAGUGGUCGUUUCAGACAUAUCGCCUAAGUGAUUGAUACAAUCGUUAUUAAUUAUAUAUUUGACAACAGUGACGGCUGACAUGAUAAAACAAAACACAAGACUACUAUUUUGCCUAAAGGAAAAAGAAAAAGAAAAACUUGUGUCAAUCUGAUCUCCAAGGUACCACCGAACUUCUUCUCUUCUCCACUAUGUUUAUUUCACCACUAGAUGGCUACUAUCCACACAUAGACCAGGACCUCCUUAAGUCAACCGGUCUGGAGCCUUUACACACUUACGAUGAGAGAGUCGGCAGCACAACAAUGUUAAUACUCACACUGACCUCUGAGCGCCGCCAGGUCAGAGCCUAGUAGUAGCCAUUUACCGACGCUCCUUAACUUCUACUCUGCUCGGGAAAGUGAGGAUAGUUGGUGAUGUUUAGAAGACGUUCUCGGUUUCGAAGAGACGUGCGGUAGCGGAGCUCACACCGAUGUAGCUACUAAGGGGCCUGUUGGUUUCUCCUCGACGUGUUUAUAGCAGGUCGUAGUAGAGCCGUGUGACGCCUACAGCGAAGAGAGUUGAACCUAAAACGGUGCGAACGUAGCUGUACU